UCAUUUGCAAUUGAUGGUCGAGAUUACAAUUUAUUUUUCCCUCUCAUUCAUUCACUUCCUCUCCCACCCCUCUUCGACACCACCUGUUAGUUCAGUCAAAAAUAGAAAAAACUUUGCCCGAUUUUCUUCCUCUCCCACUCCUUUUCCACCCCAUUCAACAUCAUCUGCCACUGUAAGCCCAACAGCCAAUAGCCAUCAGCCACUGUAAUACAGAUUCUACCAUAAGGAAAAAUAAAAAAUAAAAAUUUCCCUUCCAAAAAUACAGAUUCAACCGUAAGAAAAAAAAAAAAAAAUUUCCCUUCCAAAAAUUUUUCCCUCCCAUUUCCUUCCUCCCCCACCUCUCGUCCACCAUAUUCGACACCACCUGUGGAGUUCAGCAACCAUUCGACACCACCUAUGAGUUCAGCACCCAUCAACCAUCAACCACCCAUUUCCCACCGCGAACCACAUACAAUUUUCAACAGCCAUCAACCACCCGCCAAAAGAGCCAUGGCCUAGGGUUUGAUCUUGCAUUAUUUGAUUUGUUUCAAUAAAUUUAUGAAUUUUUUUUUUCAUUUUUUGGUUUGGAUCAAUUUUUUUGUCUAUAUUUAUUUGUAUUUAUAUAUUUAUUUGUUUUGUUGGAUUCUGUAUCAUGAACAUUUUGAUUCUGUUCGAUGCAAUUCUGAUCUCAGACAGAGAUUGAGAUGUUCAUUUCCUGGAGGCUUUGAUUUCCACAGGGUAAUUAUUUACCAUCUCCAUACAAAUUCACCUCAAAUAUGGGUGACACUGCUCUGUUGUAUCAGGUAUGUUGAUGAUCUGUGAAAGCUUUACCUUGCAUUUCUCAAACUUUAUAAUAAUUGUUUAAUUUCAUUCUAGUUUAGUUCUUUUCUGUAGAUAUGUGUAAGUGUGAAGGUUAAUGCUCUAAAGGUAAAGGGAAUUGGAACUACUUUGCAACUUGGAACCACAUAAUUUUUUUUUUUUUUUUUUUUUGGGAUUGUAGCAUCCAUUAUUCUGCUAACAUUGCCUAUUGGGUGGUCUUUCCUUUGGAUCAAAUGGCAAUAUAUUAGCAACUGCAGCUAUAGGAUAUUGAGGAUUUUCAAUUGUUCUAACAUCAAGAAGAUACAAAAGUUUUUUGGUCAUCCAGUGAGUGUCUUGCAUUUCAUAUUGCUUUAGUGUAAACACUUUUUAAUGAUAUUGUGUCCAACUAGUUAUUAUCUGUGUCCUGUUUAUUUUGCUCCAGUUUAUAUAAGUUUCUCAUCUGCUGUUGGGAAAGAUAUGUUGCGAUAUGGAAUAUAGGUGGUAGCAAGAAGAUGGUCUUCUUAUUUGCUAGUUGAAAUUGUGCUUGGGUUCUAUGGUUAGCUUGCUUGAUAUUCUAAGGUUAGCAACCUGUGCAUAAGACAUAAGGGUCAUAAUUCGUUUGUUUGAUGAGUUUCUCAGGUCUUUUCAAGUGUUUGCUCUGCUUGGGAUGUUUUGUUCAUAUACUUGAAGGCUUUCAAAUAUCACUAUUAAGGUUUUCUUAGAUCUUUUAUUGUUUUAUUAAGAAUGCAUGUCAACUAUAUUCUUUGGUUAAUGGAAAUAUGCUUAGUUUGUACAGUAAUAGUUGAUAUGAAAUGGCUGGAUAACUUUCUAAAACAUGUGUGAGUAUGUUAGAGUAUUACAUGUUUUAGUCUCAAAUUUUAGUAUAUAUGAUCAUAUUACUAGUUGAUGGUUUCUAAUCAUUUUAAGCUUUUUAUUUUUAUUUUUUUGUUUUUUGAACAUUUAUGGCCGUUUCAUUCCCUUGUGAAUUUUUUUUUAUAUUGAUGAAUUGAUGAACAUUUUAAUCCCACGUGAAGUUAUUUCCAAUUGCUGAUUCCAAAUAUAUUGUAUCAUGAUAGGAAAAGUGAUGCUGAGUUCAUGAAGAACGAAGGUGGGAGAAGUAUACUUCGUGUAAUGUAAUAAUUGAAAAGUAAUAUAAGUUGUACUGUAAUGUAAUAAUUGAAAAGUAAUGUAAUGUAACAUGCUCAGUAUUUUGCCAAGUUUUAUACUGCCACAUGGUGUUGGAGUGUCAUAUAAAUUGUAUCUACACUGAUUCAAAUUGUUGGAAAGGAGAAUGUGAGAGGAUGAGCAAAAGAGAGUGAGGCAAUGGCAGGAACAUUUUGUGAACUUAUUGAUCUUGGAACAGCAAGUGUUGAGCAAGGACUUCUUCCUCAUUUUCCUUCUCUCAUCAGGAAGCCUAUGAAGCCAGCACUUUGAAGGAUGGCCAUUAAUUGCAGCAGCAGUUCCUAUCAGUAUCACUAAUUGCAGCCUUAGGCCAUAUCAUAAGGCUACAAGGAAGGGUGGCUGUCAUGACCCGUCCAAGUUUCCUCCCCGGAACCCUAGACAAGCCCUGAUCCCAGGGAAAUAUCACCGAAUCUUCCAACGGAAAAUCCGGCAGUAUCUCCCCUAAGGGUAGGACUUACCACAAAUUUCUUGCACUGAAAAUGCACUUCUAUAUUCAUCCCCUUAUUCCUCCCACAAUACUACAA
Ziziphus jujuba (common jujube) is the source of this 2483-nucleotide long non-coding RNA. RefSeq lists it as uncharacterized. The record is from RefSeq and is a predicted model, not a curated record. Lineage: Eukaryota; Viridiplantae; Streptophyta; Magnoliopsida; Rosales; Rhamnaceae. The transcript has 2 exons.